AUGGGGGGACCAUCCUCCAAGGCUAAAUACUCCUGACUGACCGAUAGUGAACCAGUACCGUGAGGGAAAGGCGAAAAGAACCCCGGCGAGGGGAGUGAAAAAGAACCUGAAACCGUGUACGUACAAGCAGUGGGAGCACGCUUAGGCGUGUGACUGCGUACCUUUUGUAUAAUGGGUCAGCGACUUAUAUUCUGUAGCAAGGUUAACCGAAUAGGGGAGCCGAAGGGAAACCGAGUCUUAACUGGGCGUUAAGUUGCAGGGUAUAGACCCGAAACCCGGUGAUCUAGCCAUGGGCAGGUUGAAGGUUGGGUAACACUAACUGGAGGACCGAACCGACUAAUGUUGAAAAAUUAGCGGAUGACUUGUGGCUGGGGGUGAAAGGCCAAUCAAACCGGGAGAUAGCUGGUUCUCCCCGAAAGCUAUUUAGGUAGCGCCUCGUGAAUUCAUCUCCGGGGGUAGAGCACUGUUUCGGCAAGGGGGUCAUCCCGACUUACCAACCCGAUGCAAACUGCGAAUACCGGAGAAUGUUAUCACGGGAGACACACGGCGGGUGCUAACGUCCGUCGUGAAGAGGGAAACAACCCAGACCGCCAGCUAAGGUCCCAAAGUCAUGGUUAAGUGGGAAACGAUGUGGGAAGGCCCAGACAGCCAGGAUGUUGGCUUAGAAGCAGCCAUCAUUUAAAGAAAGCGUAAUAGCUCACUGGUCGAGUCGGCCUGCGCGGAAGAUGUAACGGGGCUAAACCAUGCACCGAAGCUGCGGCAGCGACGCUUAUGCGUUGUUGGGUAGGGGAGCGUUCUGUAAGCCUGCGAAGGUGUGCUGUGAGGCAUGCUGGAGGUAUCAGAAGUGCGAAUGCUGACAUAAGUAACGAUAAAGCGGGUGAAAAGCCCGCUCGCCGGAAGACCAAGGGUUCCUGUCCAACGUUAAUCGGGGCAGGGUGAGUCGACCCCUAAGGCGAGGCCGAAAGGCGUAGUCGAUGGGAAACAGGUUAAUAUUCCUGUACUUGGUGUUACUGCGAAGGGGGGACGGAGAAGGCUAUGUUGGCCGGGCGACGGUUGUCCCGGUUUAAGCGUGUAGGCUGGUUUUCCAGGCAAAUCCGGAAAAUCAAGGCUGAGGCGUGAUGACGAGGCACUACGGUGCUGAAGCAACAAAUGCCCUGCUUCCAGGAAAAGCCUCUAAGCAUCAGGUAACAUCAAAUCGUACCCCAAACCGACACAGGUGGUCAGGUAGAGAAUACCAAGGCGCUUGAGAGAACUCGGGUGAAGGAACUAGGCAAAAUGGUGCCGUAACUUCGGGAGAAGGCACGCUGAUAUGUAGGUGAAGUCCCUUGCGGAUGGAGCUGAAAUCAGUCGAAGAUACCAGCUGGCUGCAACUGUUUAUUAAAAACACAGCACUGUGCAAACACGAAAGUGGACGUAUACGGUGUGACGCCUGCCCGGUGCCGGAAGGUUAAUUGAUGGGGUCAGCGCAAGCGAAGCUCUUGAUCGAAGCCCCGGUAAACGGCGGCCGUAACUAUAACGGUCCUAAGGUAGCGAAAUUCCUUGUCGGGUAAGUUCCGACCUGCACGAAUGGCGUAAUGAUGGCCAGGCUGUCUCCACCCGAGACUCAGUGAAAUUGAACUCGCUGUGAAGAUGCAGUGUACCCGCGGCAAGACGGAAAGACCCCGUGAACCUUUACUAUAGCUUGACACUGAACAUUGAGCCUUGAUGUGUAGGAUAGGUGGGAGGCUUUGAAGUGUGGACGCCAGUCUGCAUGGAGCCGGCCUUGAAAUACCACCCUUUAAUGUUUGAUGUUCUAACGUGGACCCGUGAUCCGGGUUGCGGACAGUGUCUGGUGGGUAGUUUGACUGGGGCGGUCUCCUCCUAAAGAGUAACGGAGGAGCACGAAGGUUGGCUAAUCCUGGUCGGACAUCAGGAGGUUAGUGCAAUGGCAUAAGCCAGCUUGACUGCGAGCGUGACGGCGCGAGCAGGUGCGAAAGCAGGUCAUAGUGAUCCGGUGGUUCUGAAUGGAAGGGCCAUCGCUCAACGGAUAAAAGGUACUCCGGGGAUAACAGGCUGAUACCGCCCAAGAGUUCAUAUCGACGGCGGUGUUUGGCACCUCGAUGUCGGCUCAUCACAUCCUGGGGCUGAAGUAGGUCCCAAGGGUAUGGCUGUUCGCCAUUUAAAGUGGUACGCGAGCUGGGUUUAGAACGUCGUGAGACAGUUC
This 2203-nucleotide ribosomal RNA is filed under the name Shigella sonnei. RNAcentral's name for it is "partial 23S ribosomal RNA". It matches the Rfam family "Bacterial large subunit ribosomal RNA", at positions 444 to 2632 of the family's 2925-position model. The record is from RNAcentral. Lineage: Bacteria; Pseudomonadati; Pseudomonadota; Gammaproteobacteria; Enterobacterales; Enterobacteriaceae.